AGUGAACGCUGGCGGUAGGCCUAACACAUGCAAGUCGAACGGCAGCACAGUAAGAGCUUGCUCUUACGGGUGGCGAGUGGCGGACGGGUGAGGAAUACAUCGGAAUCUACUUUUUCGUGGGGGAUAACGUAGGGAAACUUACGCUAAUACCGCAUACGACCUACGGGUGAAAGCAGGGGAUCUUCGGACCUUGCGCGAUUGAAUGAGCCGAUGUCGGAUUAGCUAGUUGGCGGGGUAAAGGCCCACCAAGGCGACGAUCCGUAGCUGGUCUGAGAGGAUGAUCAGCCACACUGGAACUGAGACACGGUCCAGACUCCUACGGGAGGCACCAGUGGGGAAUAUUGGACAAUGGGCGCAAGCCUGAUCCAGCCAUACCGCGUGGGUGAAGAAGGCCUACGGGUUGUAAAGCCCUUUUGUUGGGAAAGAAAAGCAGCAGGUUAAUACCCCGCUGUUCUGACGGUACCCAAAGAAUAAGCACCGGCUAACUUCGUG
This 492-nucleotide ribosomal RNA is filed under the name uncultured bacterium. RNAcentral describes it as "partial 16S ribosomal RNA". It matches the Rfam family "Bacterial small subunit ribosomal RNA", at positions 29 to 507 of the family's 1533-position model. The record is from RNAcentral.